RNAcentral lists this ribosomal RNA (497 nucleotides) under uncultured bacterium. RNAcentral's name for it is "partial 16S ribosomal RNA". It matches the Rfam family "Bacterial small subunit ribosomal RNA", at positions 28 to 507 of the family's 1533-position model. The record is from RNAcentral.
GAUGAACGCUGGCGGCGUGCCUAAUACAUGCAAGUCGAGCGAACGGACGAGAAGCUUGCUUCUCUGAUGUUAGCGGCGGACGGGUGAGUAACACGUGGAUAACCUACCUAUAAGACUGGGAUAACUUCGGGAAACCGGAGCUAAUACCGGAUAAUAUUUUGAACCGCAUGGUUCAAAAGUGAAAGACGGUCUUGCUGUCACUUCUAGAUGGAUCCGCGCUGCAUUAGCUAGUUGGUAAGGUAACGGCUUACCAAGGCAACUAUGCAUAGCCGACCUGAGAGGGUGAUCGGCCACACUGGAACUUAGACAGGGUCCAUACUCCUACGGUAGGCAGCAGUAGGGUAUCGUCCGCAAUGGUCGAAAGCCUGACGGAGCAACGCCGCGUGAGUGAUGAAGGUCUUGGGAUCGUAAAACUCUGUUAUUAGGGAAGAACAGAUGUGUAAUUAACUGUGCACAUCGUGACGGUACCUAAUCAGAAAGCCACGGCUAACUACGUG